Molecule: long non-coding RNA, 217 nt
Filed under: Ricinus communis (castor bean)
Lineage: Eukaryota; Viridiplantae; Streptophyta; Magnoliopsida; Malpighiales; Euphorbiaceae
Description: long non-coding RNA (RCOM_LNC000745)
Source: RNAcentral
UGAAGUUACAUGAAUAUUGUGAAUAUCAUGAUAUGAUUUGUGCGAUUUAGGAUUCACCACAUUUAGCCAAAAGCCUACCCCCUUAUGUUUCCAUUAGUUAGCCAGUUUUGAGCCUCAACCUUUUCUUCAUAAUCUACUCCUAUACACUUCAAUUACACUAUUAUUUACAUUUAUCUUUCCUCUACCCUUAUGCUGGAAUUUCUUUUUGUGAUUUGCU